RNAcentral lists this ribosomal RNA (1908 nucleotides) under Triticum aestivum (bread wheat). Its description in RNAcentral is "partial small subunit ribosomal RNA". Lineage: Eukaryota; Viridiplantae; Streptophyta; Magnoliopsida; Poales; Poaceae. The record is from RNAcentral.
AUGGCUCUGACAGCGAAUGCGGUUGCGAGGCAGUUCACUACAUUUGUCCCAGAACGGACACAUCGGCCAACUGGUUGCCGUGGCUGGUAUGACUACAACAGUUCCCAAGAGCUUGCUGACACACAAGAUGAACUAGAUGGAGACGCUGGUCUCAGCAAGGAUGACGACGAUGACAUGGAGAACGUGCAACAGGACACCGAUGAUGAUGAACAUGUUGAAGUUCGUGCAGGUGAUAAGAAGGGCAAGGAUGCACGAGAUGUCCCCCCACCGGAGAAAGUCAAAGAACAUACGGCUGCGAGAGGCGAGGGGGUGUUGCCAUCAAAGAGGGGGAGGGCUCUAGAGGAUGUUGGGCAGGGUUCUCCUGGCAAGAGGUCUAGGACCGAUCUCGUAGCUGCUAGGAGGAGUGAGGCGACAGCUGGUGGACGAGCAGUUACGAAGAAACAUGCACCAACGCCAACCCGUGUUUCUGCUCGGUUGAACAAAGGUGCCCCCAUUGCUGGUGACACCCCUUCCACCAGGUUAUCUCCUCGUACGACGACGCCCAACACCGUGGAUCCUGUCGUGCUGCCAGACCUGAGAAAGCCAGUUAAGAAAGCCAAGCAUAUCAUUAGGGACCCACUCGAACGCCUUUCAUUCAAAGUUGUCAACAGGGGCAACUCAGAUGUUCAUGAGGCGCCAGUCGACAAAACUGCUGCUACACCGUCAACUAUUCCCACUAACUCUGACGCAAGUGGCCGACCAUCUCUGUCGGUUGCAGAUGUGCAGGUUAGAAUAACAGGCAUCCGUACAUCGGGGAGUGACGAGUCGGUAUCUGCCAGGACAGCUGAAUUAUUGCCAACUCUUCUGGCAAUGAAGGAUGCUGCUGUGAGCCAUGCCACCCGAUCAGCAAGCGUUGAAGUGGACGCUCCUGAGACCAACCUAAGCAAGGAAGAUUCCCGCUCAUCUGACACUGAUUCCAAGCGCGUGCGUGGUGGCACUCCUGUGUCCACGACAGAAGUGGCUGAGGUGGCAAUUCAUAAUGAUGUGCCAUCUGCAGGUGAGAGUCUUGGCACAACAGCUCCAGCUCCUGUCGGUGCAGAUACUGCUAAGGCGACUGUUUCGCGUGCCGGUUUUCCACCGAGGCGUCGUAGCCCCCGCAAGCAAUCAACAGACAUACCCAACGCACCAGCUGUAGCUAGGAGCAACAGUGAUGAGUCUGGUUAUGUUCCUGCGUCCACACUGUACCCGCCACCUGCCAAAAGCAAUGUGAUGGAGAAACCGGAAGACCGGAGCACAACUGAUGCAGGUGUCAAGCCGGGCACGAGUGACGCAGGUGAACGUCCAGAGCAGACUGCGCCUUUACCCGCAGUGGAAAUCCCCAGCUUAAAUCUGCGCACUUCCAGGCUCCCAGUCAAUGUUGGUGUCCCCUACAGCCCAAACAAGAAGAUUGUCAAGGAAGUUGCGGCUGAUACCGCUGACAACACGCCCCUCCCUACAAAUAAGCCCGAUCAUUCUAUAGCGGCUGAUUCAGAUAUGUUUGUUGAUCUUUCACCCUUGGAUUCUGCCCCGCAAGUUGAUCGCAGUUCGGCCAGUAGGCAUGAGAGGCACCCAAUGGCCUUCACCCCACCGAGCUUCAGCCUUGGCAUCAGUCAAGAUCAACCAGUGGUGCCAGAUCCUAUGCCAGUUGUCUUUGCUUUCCCGGGAGGCAUGCCCGCAAUGAUGGCGCAGCCAAUGGUCGAGGGCAGGAAGGCUGUCAAGUUCACAGAGUCGAUCGUCCAAGGCACCCCUGAGGAGAUUUCACCGUCACUUGAUGAAUGUUACCGUAGGAUCGAGGGGGCAGCAUUGCAGAGGAGGUCCUCACGAGGUCAGGGGCAAUCAAGUUCCAAUGUGCCUGCAGAUACGGCAUCUGAGGAUACCAUUAGGAGUUGA